This 540-nucleotide ribosomal RNA is filed under the name uncultured Geobacteraceae bacterium. RNAcentral's name for it is "bacterial SSU rRNA". It matches the Rfam family "Bacterial small subunit ribosomal RNA", at positions 9 to 526 of the family's 1533-position model. The record is from RNAcentral. Lineage: Bacteria; Pseudomonadati; Thermodesulfobacteriota; Desulfuromonadia; Geobacterales; Geobacteraceae.
GAGUUUGAUCCUGGCUCAGAACGAACGCUGGCGGCGCGCCUAACACAUGCAAGUCGAACGUGAUCCAGAGCUUGCUCUGGUGAAAGUGGCGCACGGGUGAGUAACGCGUGGAUAACCUACCCUGGUAUCCGGGAUAACAUUCCGAAAGGGGUGCUAAUACCGGAUAAGCCCACGGGCUCUUUGGAGCUUGCGGGAAAAGGUGGCCUCUAUUUAUAAGCUACUGUAUCAGGAUGGGUCCGCGUACCAUUAGCUAGUUGGCGGUGUAACGGACCACCAAGGCGACGAUGGUUAGCUGGUCUGAGAGGAUGAUCAGCCACACUGGAACUGAGACACGGUCCAGACUCCUACGGGAGGCAGCAGUGGGGAAUUUUGCGCAAUGGGGGAAACCCUGACGCAGCAACGCCGCGUGAGUGAUGAAGGCCUUUGGGUCGUAAAGCUCUGUCAGAGGGGAAGAAAUGAUAUAGUGCUAAUACCACUUUAUCUUGACGGUACCCUCAAAGGAAGCACCGGCUAACUCCGUGCCAGCAGCCGCGGUAAUAC